UAGUAUUUUUAAUAGUUAUCUUGUUUGCUAUAUUAUUUUUAUAUACAAAAAGAAGGAGAGAAUAAAAUUAGUUUUUGAACCAAAUUAGUCUUGCUUGUAGCCCAAUUAAACCAAUCCCUUAGCCCAUUAACUCAAAAUCCCAAACCUAGACACCCAUUUAAGAUAAUAUACAAGAAAAAAUAAAAAAACCUAGACCUAGACUUGGAGAGAUCAGCCGUUGGACUAAGAGAACAACCCCCAUGGAGAGCUUCUUCUUCAAUCCUUGAACCACUCUAGGCCGCCGAAUACCCCACUGUCACCUAGCCUCACCACCACUCAGCUGCGAAAUUAGGAACAAAGCACACACACAUACUGGAAAAAGGAGAAUGGAAAAAAACUUAAAGGGGAUAUAGUAGAGGAGGGAACAGACAGAGAAAGAGAGGAAAGCUCAUCCUCUCUAUCACUGUCCCUCUCGCCACGAGAACCAGCUAAAAACAACUUCAAAAUAGUAUGAAAAUCCAACUCAAAUCAGCCCUGCCGCAACCCCGAAAACGCAUCAAACUUCACUUCUGGUCAGCUCUUUGAGCUUCGUUGUUCUUCGGGUCAAUUAGAGUUCGAGUUGUCGGCGAGAUUGGAGUCUCUCCGGCGAAGUUCGGCCAUUCAGCCUCCUGUCGAGGUCCUGUUCACGAUCUUGCUGCUCAUGUGCUUCAAAGCAGUCUAAGCAUUUGAAUUUCAAAUUCAAUUAAAGGUCCAUCCUUAACCUGAUCUCUUAGCCUAAGUAGUUUCAGUCUUGACUAUAUUCCAAAUCUUGUUUUAAUUAAUCUCUGUGGCUAUUUUGUUUGUUGUGAUUCAUUAGUUGAACUAGUACAUAUGUUGAAUAGUUUUGUCUAAUAUGAUCCUAAAUUCUUGAAUGCAAAUUUGAAAUGUGAUAUAUGCUAUUGAUUAUUGAAAUAUGGACCAUUAUCACGUUAGUUUUAUUUUUCAUCGUAUUUUGGAUUUAAUAACUCACUAUUUCUAGGUUUCCAUAGGUUAGCUUCUGCUUAUUUGUUUCAAUUUUAAUAUAAGAUAGAAUUGGAUUAGAUCACAGUAACUCAUUUGGAUUUGAGUGUUAAGGUCGAUUAGAGUAUAUUCCAAAUAAAAUGAGCAUGAAAUGGAAUUUUGUUUAUUUCAGUUUUAUUUCUAUUUUUUUCAUUAUCCACUAACAACAUGUUUAGGCCAUUGUCACUCUGGUAGGAAAUCUUAGGUUUUCUUUAUUUCAUUUGUAUUUGAGGCGAGAGGUCAUUUCUUUUAGUUUAUUAUCUGGGAAAUGCCCCGUAAAAUUUUUAUAUAUUUUAUCCGGGGUAUGCCCCAAAGUAUUUAUAUUUGGAGGCCGAAAGUAGAACUCGUAGUAUUUUUAUUUUUCUUUUAUUAGGUAGGAACGACCUCGGGCCUCAUUUGUGCUUAUUUUUGUUUUCUGUUUUUAUUUUUACCUCAAGUUGAAUAUUUUAAAAGCCGAUUAGAUCGAGUACACAAUCGUGACUUUUACGGGACUUGGGGAGUGCCUAACACCUUCUUCCCGAGUGAAAUGAACCCCCUUACCCGAAUCUCUGGUGUAGAUUUAAUUUUGGAGUUCAAAUUGUUUAAAAAGGAAAAAUCAUUUUGAUAAAACGGUGACCUGGCACACCAAAAUCAAUGUCAGGUGGCGACUCUGAGUUAUAUCCUUUUGAACACCAUUUUUGUCACUUUCAAAAUUGAAAAACCAUUUUCGAGCUUUACAAAAUCCUUUUAUUAUUUUUAAGAGGGUUAGUGAAGUUUUGUUUAAAAAAGGGUUGUGACAUCUCUGGCGACUCUGCUGGGGAGUUGCAGGUUCGAGCUUAUACUUAAUCUUGUUGGCUUUUAGGAUAUUCGGUUGAGGUGUUUGUUUUCUUUAUUUGCUUUGUUUGUUUGGUUUGUUUGUCUUAUUUCCUUGUCUUGUUGGUUAUUUGUUUAUCGCUUUUCUUAAUGUGUUACUUCUUUAUAAACUGUCAUCAUUUGCAUAACCAUGGGUCUUCCUUCUACAAUAAGUAUCGGAGUACGUGUCACGUGCACGGACUCUUUGUUGAGUCACCCUUAAUUUAGGAGCGGGGCCGUCAGACGUAUAGAGUGGGUGGAAAGCUUUAGCAGCCACCAUCGACCAUACGCUCCCCCGAAUUGUCUUGUUAGUGAACCCCAAACUUAGGUCAGCCUUUAGGUCAUUUUUAUUUGCAUCAUGUCAUUUACACCUAGUAGGGCUCGGUCCCAGGCACCGUGUCCCUUUGUAGGAAGCCUAUCCAAAUUUUGUCAAAAAUGGGCCUGUUGCCAAAAAAAAGACAUUCAAUCAUUCUUAUGUGAUACAUGUUGCAUUUUUUAGGGUAGAAAGGUCAUUUGGCGGACCGAUAUUUGGGAAAGAAGGGUGAAAAUGGAGCAAGUAGGGUCCGGUUAUAUUUUAAUUUCACAACUUUUACAAGAAAAAUAAAAAAAAAUGAAAAUGAAAAAAUUUAAAAAGAUUUUACACUUUCCCAUUAUUUUCCAAAAAUUCAAAAAAAAAAAAUGAAAAAUGAAAAAAAAACCAAAAAGAUUUUACACUUUUUCAUUAUUUUCCAAAAAUUCAAAAAAAAAGGAGAAAAAGAAAAUCCAAAAAGAUUUUACAUUUUCCAUCAUUUCUCAAAAAGACAAAAAAAAUAUGAUUUUCCAAUUUAGUUGCAUUUUUAAAAGGCUUUCUCCUAUGUUCAAUCUUCCCGAACUACGCGAACCUGAUUCUUAUCUUUCAAGACGCGAUACGUAGGCAACCCACAUAGGGCCCGGUAUUCCUAGUGUGUCUUAGGUUAUUGGCUUCACGGGGUCUUAGCCAAAUCUUGCAUGUUUAGCCACUUUUGGCCACAUCGCCAUUCUUGCAAAACGGGGUUAUUUUUGCAAAAGUGGUUCAAUUACCCAUGUCUUAGGAUCUUGAGUCUACAACUCGGUGUCAUAUUACUUUAAGGUCCUUCCUUUUUGAGUUUGCAUCUUUAACAACUUUGGCCAUAUCGGCUGUUUUUGCAAAAUGGGUAAUUUCUACAAAUUAAUUUUUGGGCCAUGAUUGGUUGGAGUUUGAGUCCAUAUAAGUUUUAGUGAGGUAUUUUCAUAUCUUUGAGGUCACCUUUAUUGAGUCUGCAUUUCUAGCCACUCUUGGCCGCGUAGGUUAAUUUUUAAAAAUAGCCCAAUCAUGUCUUGCAUGUGUCCAUAAGAGGUGAUGUGGUGUUGCAUAGUGUCUUGAGUCAUUAACUUUUUUUAGUCUUAUUCAGGUAUGGAUUAAUUUGCAACAGCUCGAGCAUGACAAAUACCCGAGGAUCAUUCUAGUCAAGACCAUUGCACGCACGAGCUGCUUGAAGAAACUUUUUAUUUUUUUUAGUCUAUUUUAUGUUGUCUUUUAAUUAUUAGUCUUGUACAAUAGUAUCGAGUCUGUCAGUCUAGUUAAGAUUGUCGAGUCUUUUGUUAUAGUACUUCCUGUUUUGUAUUUGAAAAACCAAAAAAAAAUUAUAAAUGAAAAAUUCAAAAAGAUUUUUAUUUUUAGUUUAUUUGUCCAUUACUUUUUUUUAGAACUACGCUUGAUCUGAUUCAUGAGGGACAUGAUAUGUAGGCAACCUACAUAGGGUUCGAUCGAAUCAUUUUUCAAAAAAUAAAAAAAAACAAGAAGAAGGAAAAAGAAAAAACAAAAAAAAA
RNAcentral lists this long non-coding RNA (3675 nucleotides) under Nicotiana tabacum (common tobacco). Its description in RNAcentral is "long non-coding RNA (NTAB_LNC017405)". The record is from RNAcentral. Lineage: Eukaryota; Viridiplantae; Streptophyta; Magnoliopsida; Solanales; Solanaceae.